AACGAACGCUGGCGGCGCGCCUUACACAUGCAAGUCGAACGGCAGUAACGGGCUUGCCCCUUCUCAGAUGGGUGGCCUGGUGAGUAACACCUGGGUGACAUACCUUUUAGAUGGGGAUUGCUAUUAGUAAUAGUAGGUCAUACCGAAUGUAACCGUUCUCGCUAUUGGGGUACGACGAAUCGAGCUAAGGCUUCGCUAAAAGUAUGGCUCGCCGCCCAUUAUGCUCGUUGGCGCGGUGACGGCCCACCUAGGCGAUGUUGGGUAUCAGUCCUGAGCGGGUGGACGAGCACAUUGGCACUGAGAAACGGCCCCGACUUCUACGGGAGGCCGCAGUUAAGAAUCUUCCGCGAUGGACGAGAGUCUGACGGAGCGACGCCGCGGGGAUGAAGAAUGCCGAAAGGUUGUAAAAUCCUUUUAAGCCUGAGGAAUAAGAACAGUAGGGAAUGAUUGUGCGGUGACCGUAGGGGUUGAAUAAGCACCGGCUAAUUACGUG
Molecule: ribosomal RNA, 493 nt
Filed under: uncultured bacterium
Lineage: Bacteria
Description: partial 16S ribosomal RNA
Rfam family: Bacterial small subunit ribosomal RNA
Source: RNAcentral